This 83-nucleotide small nucleolar RNA is filed under the name Macrophomina phaseolina MS6. Its description in RNAcentral is "A. fumigatus snoRNA Afu_294". It matches the Rfam family "A. fumigatus snoRNA Afu_294". The record is from Rfam by way of RNAcentral. Lineage: Eukaryota; Fungi; Ascomycota; Dothideomycetes; Botryosphaeriales; Botryosphaeriaceae.
UUUCCUGAUGAGCUCAAUUAUUUCGCUGUGUUCUUCCUGAGAUUCGUCUUUGAAGAAAUAUCAUCACCUUGGAGACCUGAAAC